Molecule: transfer RNA, 90 nt
Filed under: Entomobacter blattae
Lineage: Bacteria; Pseudomonadati; Pseudomonadota; Alphaproteobacteria; Acetobacterales; Acetobacteraceae
Description: tRNA-Ser
Rfam family: tRNA
About the family: Transfer RNA (tRNA) molecules are approximately 80 nucleotides in length. Their secondary structure includes four short double-helical elements and three loops (D, anti-codon, and T loops).
Source: RNAcentral
GGAGAGAUGCCGGAGUGGUCGAACGGGGCGGUCUCGAAAACCGUUGUGCGUUUAGGCGUACCGUGGGUUCGAAUCCCACUCUCUCCGCCA